AGGGGCCGCUGGGGGGCAGGAGCCAUAGGAGCCAAAGCCUGGGGGCCCGAAGGAAGGGGCCCUCACGAAGGUCAGAUCUGAGAUCACUCUUCCUUCCCUGGAGCAGAGGUCGCUGUGCAUUCUGGAUGCUAGCUCUGUGCUUGCAGGUCCCCGUUAAGUCUGAGCAAGAGCCCUGCCGUAUUUCCUGGUUCUGCUGGCUGCCCGGGCAAUUCAGUCUCAUUCCUGUCAUCUGACCUCAUGCUCCAGGUUGGCCAGACCAGUAUCCACAAGGAAGAGUCUUACAGGUUCAUUUGUUUGCUUUCCUCACUGCAGCCCUUAGAAGUCCUGGCUGCAUCUUAAAUCUUACAAGAGUCCUUCAGAGUCCAGAGGCAAGACAUAUGUCAGGACAACUGGUGAUGGCCCUAAGGCAGUGGGAAACCUUGGUCUUUUUAAGCUCAUUUUAUCUGAGGCAAUACCC
Trichosurus vulpecula (common brushtail) is the source of this 457-nucleotide long non-coding RNA. RefSeq lists it as uncharacterized. Lineage: Eukaryota; Metazoa; Chordata; Mammalia; Diprotodontia; Phalangeridae. The record is from RefSeq and is a predicted model, not a curated record. The transcript is spliced from 4 exons.